AUGACCACAGUCCCGGCUUACGGCACUGGCCUUACUUUUAGGACAGGGAAGCUGAGACAAAGUGGGGCGAUCAAAGAACUGGAAUUUGAACUGCGUCUGAGUGACUCGGAAGCCCCGGACGAGUGGCGCCCCCGAGCCGGCAAAACUCCACCUCGAUGGGCGUCCGAGUUGAUGCAAGCGGCCUUUCGUCGAAGGACCGGUGCCGGUUGCACCGCGCUUCCCUUCUCCCGCCCGGGUCACCACUCAGGGCGGUGGGAGCCGGUGCAGGCAACGCGCUUUGAUCGCGGAGCGCACCCUGCCGGAGGACUGCAAUCUUGCUCGCUCGCUUCCCUCCCCAUCCCCCAGUCUGUCUGGGACCACUCCACUUCUCCUUCUCGAGGCCAACCCAGUUUUUCAGGUGACAAAGGUGAGCAGAAGAAAUUACUGCCCUACCUGGAGCUCCGAUAAGGGUUCAGAAUCCUCAGGAAUGAAGGUUGGAGUCAGCCCCCUGGACCAAGAACUUUCACCAAGAAGGAAGCCUCAGCCCAUGACCUGCAUCCAUAUGGCUGUAGCCUCCAUCUGAAGCCACAUGGAAUAUUUACGCUUCCCCACCAAAAAAAAGAAGUGUUGAGUAGUUCUUGCUAUGGUAUAGUGGGUUAAGAACCCGACUGCACAACUCUA
Molecule: long non-coding RNA, 660 nt
Filed under: Sus scrofa (pig)
Lineage: Eukaryota; Metazoa; Chordata; Mammalia; Artiodactyla; Suidae
Description: lncRNA (ENSSSCG00055012952.1)
Source: RNAcentral